This 417-nucleotide ribosomal RNA is filed under the name uncultured bacterium. RNAcentral's name for it is "bacterial SSU rRNA". It matches the Rfam family "Bacterial small subunit ribosomal RNA", at positions 355 to 786 of the family's 1533-position model. The record is from RNAcentral.
UGGGGAAUAUUGGGCAAUGGGCGCAAGCCUGACCCAGCAACGCCGCGUGAAGGAAGAAGGCUUUCGGGUUGUAAACUUCUUUUCUUGGGGACGAAACAAAUGACGGUACCCAAGGAAUAAGCCACGGCUAACUACGUGCCAGCAGCCGCGGUAAUACGUAGGUGGCAAGCGUUAUCCGGAUUUAUUGGGUGUAAGGGGCGUGUAGGCGGGACUGCAAGUCAGAUGUGAAAACUAUGGGCUCAACCCAUAGCCUGCAUUCGAAACUGUAGUUCUUGAGUGCUGGAGAGGCAAUCGGAAUUCCGUGUGUAGCGGUGAAAUGCGUAGAUAUACGGAGGAACACCAGUGGCGAAGGCGGAUUGCUGGACAGUAACUGACGCUGAGGCGCGAAAGCGUGGGGAGCAAACAGGAUUAGAUACC